CCUACGGGGGGCAGCAGUGAGGAAUAUUGGUCAAUGGACGCGAGUCUGAACCAGCCAAGUAGCGUGAAGGAUGACUGCCCUAUGGGUUGUAAACUUCUUUUAUAAGGGAAUAAAAUGAGGCAUGUGUGCCUUUUUGCAUGUACUUUAUGAAUAAGGAUCGGCUAACUCCGUGCCAGCAGCCGCGGUAAUACGGAGGAUCCGAGCUUUAUCCGGAUUUAUUGGGUUUAAAGGGAGCGUAGAUGGGUUGUUAAGUCAGUUGUGAAAGUUUGCGGCUCAACCGUAAAAUUGCAAUUGAUACUGGCAGUCUGGAGUACAGAUGAGGUAGGAGGAAUUCGGGGUGUAGCGGUGAAAUGCUUAGAUAUCACGAAGAACCCCGAUUGCGAAGGCAGCUUACUAAACUGUGACUGACAUUGAUGCUCGAAAGUGUGGGUAUCAAACAGGAUUAGAUACCCCAGUAGUU
Molecule: ribosomal RNA, 460 nt
Filed under: uncultured bacterium
Lineage: Bacteria
Description: partial 16S ribosomal RNA
Rfam family: Bacterial small subunit ribosomal RNA
Source: RNAcentral